GACGAACGCUGGCGGCGUGCUUAACACAUGCAAGUCGAACGGAAAGGCCCUGCUUUUGUGGGGUGCACGAGUGGCGAACGGGUGAGUAACACGUGAGUAACCUGCCCUUGACUUUGGGAUAACUUCAGGAAACUGGGGCUAAUACCGGAUAGGAGCUCCUGCUGCAUGGUGGGGGUUGGAAAGUUUCGGCGGUUGGGGAUGGACUCGCGGCUUAUCAGCUUGUUGGUGGGGUAGUGGCUUACCAAGGCUUUGACGGGUAGCCGGCCUGAGAGGGUGACCGGCCACAUUGGGACUGAGAUACGGCCCAGACUCCUACGGGAGGCAGCAGUGGGGAAUAUUGCACAAUGGGCGGAAGCCUGAUGCAGCAACGCCGCGUGCGGGAUGACGGCCUUCGGGUUGUAAACCGCUUUCGCCUGUGACGAAGCGUGAGUGACGGUAAUGGGGAAAGAAGCACCGGCUAACUACGG
Molecule: ribosomal RNA, 467 nt
Filed under: uncultured bacterium
Lineage: Bacteria
Description: partial 16S ribosomal RNA
Rfam family: Bacterial small subunit ribosomal RNA
Source: RNAcentral